This 392-nucleotide ribosomal RNA is filed under the name uncultured Acidovorax sp. RNAcentral describes it as "bacterial SSU rRNA". It matches the Rfam family "Bacterial small subunit ribosomal RNA", at positions 986 to 1382 of the family's 1533-position model. The record is from RNAcentral. Lineage: Bacteria; Pseudomonadati; Pseudomonadota; Betaproteobacteria; Burkholderiales; Comamonadaceae.
AUGGCAGGAAUCCCGAAGAGAUUUGGGAGUGCUCGAAAGAGAACCUGCACACAGGUGCUGCAUGGCUGUCGUCAGCUCGUGUCGUGAGAUGUUGGGUUAAGUCCCGCAACGAGCGCAACCCUUGUCAUUAGUUGCUACGAAAGGGCACUCUAAUGAGACUGCCGGUGACAAACCGGAGGAAGGUGGGGAUGACGUCAAGUCCUCAUGGCCCUUAUAGGUGGGGCUACACACGUCAUACAAUGGCUGGUACAGAGGGUUGCCAACCCGCGAGGGGGAGCCAAUCCCAUAAAGCCAGCCGUAGUCCGGAUCGCAGUCUGCAACUCGACUGCGUGAGGUCGGAAUCGCUAGUAAUCGCGGAUCAGAAUGUCGCGGUGAAUACGUUCCCGGGUCUU